RNAcentral lists this non-coding RNA (45 nucleotides) under Schistosoma mansoni. The record is from RNAcentral. Lineage: Eukaryota; Metazoa; Platyhelminthes; Trematoda; Strigeidida; Schistosomatidae.
AUCCAGCCGAGGGGUCCCAAAUAGGAUGGAAGGCGUGUCCUGCAU